RNAcentral lists this microRNA precursor (84 nucleotides) under Bombyx mori (domestic silkworm). RNAcentral's name for it is "mir-2807 microRNA precursor family". It matches the Rfam family "mir-2807 microRNA precursor family". Lineage: Eukaryota; Metazoa; Arthropoda; Insecta; Lepidoptera; Bombycidae. The record is from Rfam by way of RNAcentral.
UUAACAAAAAUUUGUAUGGAGCUGGAACGUUUGCCUACGUUUGCCGCUAGGGGCGCUGUUCCAACUGCAUACUAAUUUGAGUUA